GGUUGUGGCUCAGUGGUAGAAUGCUUCCCUAACAUGUGUGAGGCACUGGGUUCAAUCCUCAGCACCA
Molecule: transfer RNA, 67 nt
Filed under: Marmota monax (woodchuck)
Lineage: Eukaryota; Metazoa; Chordata; Mammalia; Rodentia; Sciuridae
Description: tRNA.Val
Source: RNAcentral